This 219-nucleotide unclassified non-coding RNA is filed under the name uncultured Gammaproteobacteria bacterium. RNAcentral describes it as "contains 16S-23S intergenic spacer region". Lineage: Bacteria; Pseudomonadati; Pseudomonadota; Gammaproteobacteria. The record is from RNAcentral.
UCCGGCUUGCCGCCGGCGGUCCCUCUAGAGUGCCCAACUGAAUGAUGGCAACUAAAGGCGAGGGUUGCGCUCGUUGCGGGACUUAACCCAACAUCUCACGACACGAGCUGACGACAGCCAUGCAGCACCUGUCUCACGGUUCCCGAAGGCACAUCCGCAUCUCUGCAGACUUCCGUGGAUGUCAAGGCCAGGUAAGGUUCUUCGCGUUGCAUCGAAUUA